This 468-nucleotide ribosomal RNA is filed under the name uncultured bacterium. Its description in RNAcentral is "partial 16S ribosomal RNA". It matches the Rfam family "Bacterial small subunit ribosomal RNA", at positions 28 to 507 of the family's 1533-position model. The record is from RNAcentral.
GACGAACGCUGGCGGCGUGCUUAACACAUGCAAGUCGAACGGAAAGGCCCUGCUUUUGUGGGGUGCUCGAGUGGCGAACGGGUGAGUAACACGUGAGUAACCUGCCCUUGACUUUGGGAUAACUUCAGGAAACUGGGGCUAAUACCGGAUAGGAGCUCCUGCUGCAUGGUGGGGGUUGGAAAGUUUCGGCGGUUGGGGAUGGACUCGCGGCUUAUCAGCUUGUUGGUGGGGUAGUGGCUUACCAAGGCUUUGACGGGUAGCCGGCCUGAGAGGGUGACCGGCCACAUUGGGACUGCGAUACGGCCCAGACUCCUACGGGAGGCAGCAGGGGGGAAUAUUACACAAUGGGCGGAAGCCUGAUGCAGCAACGCCGCGUGCGGGAUGACGGCCUUCGGGUUGUAAACCGCUUUAGCCUGUGACGAAGCGUGAGUGACGGUAAUGGGUAAAGAAGCACCGGCUAACUACGUG